CGCCUAACACAUGCAAGUCGAGCGAUAUAGCGGCGAACGGGUGAGUAACACGUUGGAACAUGCCCCGAACUCAGGGAUAGCCAUCCGAAAGGGUGAUUAAUACCGGAUAGUCUCCGAUUUUACAUCGGAGUAAAGAUUUUCGGUUCGGGAGUGGCCUGCGGCCUAUCAGCUUGUUGGUAGUGUAAUAGACUACCAAGGCUAUGACGGGUAUCUGGUGUGAGAGCAUGACCAGACACAAUGGAACUGAGACACGGUCCAUACUCC
RNAcentral lists this ribosomal RNA (264 nucleotides) under uncultured bacterium. RNAcentral describes it as "partial 16S ribosomal RNA". It matches the Rfam family "Bacterial small subunit ribosomal RNA", at positions 45 to 339 of the family's 1533-position model. The record is from RNAcentral.